UUACGGCCAUAUCAUGUUGAAACACUGGUUAUUGUACGAUCACCAAUAUUAAGCAACGUUGAGCCUGGUAAUUACCUAGAUGGGUGACCGCUUGAGAAUACCAGGUGCUGUAAG
Molecule: non-coding RNA, 114 nt
Organism: Acanthosepion pharaonis
Lineage: Eukaryota; Metazoa; Mollusca; Cephalopoda; Sepiida; Sepiidae
Source: the annotation of a GenBank genome assembly